GAGUUGUAGUUCAGCUGGUUAGAACGCCUGCCUGUCACGCAGGAGGCCGCGGGUUCGAGUCCCGUCAACUCC
This 72-nucleotide transfer RNA is filed under the name fish gut metagenome. It matches the Rfam family "tRNA". From Rfam's summary of the family: Transfer RNA (tRNA) molecules are approximately 80 nucleotides in length. Their secondary structure includes four short double-helical elements and three loops (D, anti-codon, and T loops). The record is from RNAcentral.